Molecule: ribosomal RNA, 159 nt
Filed under: uncultured Chlamydiales bacterium
Lineage: Bacteria; Pseudomonadati; Chlamydiota; Chlamydiia; Chlamydiales
Description: partial 16S ribosomal RNA
Rfam family: Bacterial small subunit ribosomal RNA
Source: RNAcentral
GCCCAAACUCCUACGGGAGGCUGCAGUCGAGAAUCUUUCGCAAUGGGCGAAAGCCUGACGAAGCGACGCUGCGUGAGUGAUGAAGGCUUUCGGGUUGUAAAACUCUUUCGCGCAAGAGCAAAGUGGAUUAGUGAAUAACUGAUUCAUAUGAGAGUACUG